Molecule: non-coding RNA, 86 nt
Organism: Mycena metata
Lineage: Eukaryota; Fungi; Basidiomycota; Agaricomycetes; Agaricales; Mycenaceae
Source: the annotation of a GenBank genome assembly
UGUCCCCUGGCCCAGCUGGUUCAAGGCGCAAGACUGUUAAUUCGACAAUAAUCUUGAGAUCGUGAGUUCGAACCUCACGGGGGCAG